AUGGAGGAGGGCCUGCCGGAGGCGGGCGUCGCCGGCGGAGGCGCCCCCGAGGGGGAGAAUCUCACCUCCGGGAGGCCGCCCCCGGGCUUCGACGGGGUCCGCAUCAAGGCCAUGCGGGGAGCCAUCCAGGGACAUCCUCUCGCCCACGUGCAGGGUGCCCCAACGGAUGGUUACAGGAGCUCGCUGAACCAGGGAAACAACGGCACAUUUUGGGACGAGCGUCAAGUCUGUAUCCCAGCUGAGGAGCAGCAGUCGCCAGCUGAACGGUCUACUCGAUCCGUGAGAUCAAGGGGCAGGAGAACGAAAAAUUUCAGCGAUAAGGAGGACAAUAUGUUGGUGUUGGCAUGGCUGAAUAUCAGCAUGGAAGUAGCACCAGGGAACGAGCAAGUUCGUUCUUAUUGGCAGAGGAUAUAUUGUUACUUCCACCGGAACAGGAACUUCGAGUCAGAUCGCAAUCAAAAUUCCCUCACGCACCGUUGGUCUACCAUUCAAGAACAUGUUCAGAAAUUCUGCUGGUGUUAUGACCGGAUCGGGUGUAAAAACGGGAUCACGGAGGAAGAAAGGAUAGUUCAGGCAUUGGGAGUGUACAAAUCAGAAGAGAAGAAAGCGUUUGGUUUCUUGCAUUGUUGGAAUACCUUACACGCCCAUCAAAAGUGGACUGAUAGGUUGUCUCAGAAAAAACAGAAGACAACCUCCAAUUCAAGUCCGGGUACAUUUCCUCUUGGAACCAACUCAAUUCGGCUUGACGAUGAAGCGGAGGCUCGUAGUCCAAAAAAUGAGGACUCGGGCUCGGACGACGGAGGGGACUGUGGGCACGAGCUCCAGGUUCAGGCCAUGGAGUGCGCCCUCCAGGAGCAGCCUCUCGACCACAAGCCCCACCUUCAGGUUGCCGCAAUGGAUGGUUAUACCUAUAGGAGCUUGUUGAAUCAAGGAAACAAGGAACCAUUUUGGGAUGACCGUCAACUUGGUAGUAGCUCAGCUGAGGAGCAACAAUCGCCAAUUGAACAAGCUAUUCAGUCCAUGCCAACGAACAUCAAGAGAACAGAAAAUUUCAGCGAUAAGGAAGACUAUAUGUUGGUGUUGGCAUGGCUAAAUAUCAGUAUGGAUGCAGCACAAGGGAAUGAGCAGACUUGUUCUACUUACUGGCAGAGAAUGCAUUGUUACUUCCACGAGAACAGGAACUUCGAGUCAGAUCAUAGUCAAAAUUCUCUCUUGCAGCGUUGGUCAACCAUUCAAGAACACGUAGAGAAGUUCUGUAGAUGUUAUGACCGUGUUGGGCAUAGAAGCGUGGUGACAGACAAAGAUAAGAUUGUUCAGGCAUUGGAAGUGUACAAGGCAGAAGAAAAGAAAGCAUUCGCUUUCUUGCAUUGUUGGAAUACCUUGCAGCUCCAUAAAAAAUGGACUGAUAUGUUAUCUCAGAAAAAACAGAAGACGACACCCAAUUCAAGUCCAGACACGUCCAACUCAAGUUGGCCUGAUGGUGAAGCGGAGGUUCCUACUCCAGAAAAUGAGCCUUUGGAAAGACCAAUAGGUAGUAUGGCGGAGAAAGAACAAUUACAACCUUGUAAAAGUUCUGUCUCUCCAAAUGAUAAUAUUUACAUGGAAGCGGCAAAUCAUCUGUGGUCAAAUAAGAGAGUGGCGGAGAGCGUGAAAGAGCUCAAGGAAGAUGAGCACUUUGAACAAGCAUGUGCACUAGAAGAAGAGAGGAUUGCAAAUGGAAUAGACAUGAUAGCACACAAGAGAAAAAAGCUUGAAGUAAAAGAAAGAGAGUUAGAAUUCAAGAGAAAGAAGCUGGAAGUAAGGGAAAGAGAGUUAGAACUUCAGAGAAGGUUGGAAGAUGCGAGAAUAAUGGAUAUGGAUAUUAGUGCUAUGACUGGGCGACAACAACAGUUCUACAUGAGCUUGCAGAAUGAGAUCAUUGCUCGACGAUGCAAUAGGUCGAAAUGA
This 1947-nucleotide ribosomal RNA is filed under the name Triticum aestivum (bread wheat). Its description in RNAcentral is "partial small subunit ribosomal RNA". Lineage: Eukaryota; Viridiplantae; Streptophyta; Magnoliopsida; Poales; Poaceae. The record is from RNAcentral.